CGCACAUUGCGCCCUCUGGUAUUCCGGGGGGCACGCCUGUUCGAGCGUCAUUGCACGAAUCGAGCCUGGCUCGGUAAUGGGACCGGCCCUGCGGGCGGCCCGAAAGUCAGUCGGCACGGUCGUCGGGCGAGGACGCAUUGGAAAUGACUGUCCUGCGUCCGGCGAGCGCGGCCAGCCAAACCGUCUCCCGAGGCGUAAAACCCCCGGGGACAUCUUUCAUUGACCUCGGAUCAGGCGGGACUACCCGCUGAACUUAA
Molecule: unclassified non-coding RNA, 257 nt
Filed under: fungal sp.
Lineage: Eukaryota; Fungi
Description: partial contains 5.8S ribosomal RNA, internal transcribed spacer 2, and large subunit ribosomal RNA
Source: RNAcentral